AAACCAGCACCUCAAGUGGUCAGGAUGAUUAUUGGGCCUAAAGCAUCCGUAGCCUGCUUUGUCAGUUUUCGGUUAAAUCCAUACGCUCAACGUAUGGGCUGCCGGAAAUACUGCAAAGCUAGGGAGUGGGAGAGGUAGACGGUACUCGGGAGGAAGGGGUAAAAUCCUUUGAUCUCUCGAUGACCACCUGUGGCGAAGGCGGUCUGCCAGAACACGUCCGACGGUGAGGGAUGAAAGCUGGGGGAGCAAACCGGAUUAGAAACCCCGGUAGUCC
This 274-nucleotide ribosomal RNA is filed under the name uncultured bacterium. Its description in RNAcentral is "partial 16S ribosomal RNA". It matches the Rfam family "Archaeal small subunit ribosomal RNA", at positions 473 to 747 of the family's 1478-position model. The record is from RNAcentral.